UGUUUCGGCAAGGGGGUCAUCCCGACUUACCAACCCGAUGCAAACUGCGAAUACCGGAGAAUGUUAUCACGGGAGACACACGGCGGGUGCUAACGUCCGUCGUGAAGAGGGAAACAACCCAGACCGCCAGCUAAGGUCCCAAAGUCAUGGUUAAGUGGGAAACGAUGUGGGAAGGCCCAGACAGCCAGGAUGUUGGCUUAGAAGCAGCCAUCAUUUAAAGAAAGCGUAAUAGCUCACUGGUCGAGUCGGCCUGCGCGGAAGAUGUAACGGGGCUAAACCAUGCACCGAAGCUGCGGCAGCGACGCUUAUGCGUUGUUGGGUAGGGGAGCGUUCUGUAAGCCUGUGAAGGUGUGCUGUGAGGCAUGCUGGAGGUAUCAGAAGUGCGAAUGCUGACAUAAGUAACGAUAAAGCGGGUGAAAAGCCCGCUCGCCGGAAGACCAAGGGUUCCUGUCCAACGUUAAUCGGGGCAGGGUGAGUCGACCCCUAAGGCGAGGCCGAAAGGCGUAGUCGAUGGGAAACAGGUUAAUAUUCCUGUACUUGGUGUUACUGCGAAGGGGGGACGGAGAAGGCUAUGUUGACCGGGCGACGGUUGUCCCGGUUUAAGCGUGUAGGCUGGUUUUCCAGGCAAAUCCGGAAAAUCAAGGCUGAGGCGUGAUGACGAGGCACUACGGUGCUGAAGCAACAAAUGCCCUGCUUCCAGGAAAAGCCUCUAAGCAUCAGGUAACAUCAAAUCGUACCCCAAACCGACACAGGUGGUCAGGUAGAGAAUACCAAGGCGCUUGAGAGAACUCGGGUGAAGGAACUAGGCAAAAUGGUGCCGUAACUUCGGGAGAAGGCACGCUGAUAUGUAGGUGAAGCGACUUGCUCGUGGAGCUGAAAUCAGUCGAAGAUACCAGCUGGCUGCAACUGUUUAUUAAAAACACAGCACUGUGCAAACACGAAAGUGGACGUAUACGGUGUGACGCCUGCCCGGUGCCGGAAGGUUAAUUGAUGGGGUUAGCGGUAACGCGAAGCUCUUGAUCGAAGCCCCGGUAAACGGCGGCCGUAACUAUAACGGUCCUAAGGUAGCGAAAUUCCUUGUCGGGUAAGUUCCGACCUGCACGAAUGGCGUAAUGAUGGCCAGGCUGUCUCCACCCGAGACUCAGU
Molecule: ribosomal RNA, 1146 nt
Filed under: Escherichia coli
Lineage: Bacteria; Pseudomonadati; Pseudomonadota; Gammaproteobacteria; Enterobacterales; Enterobacteriaceae
Description: partial 23S ribosomal RNA
Rfam family: Bacterial large subunit ribosomal RNA
Source: RNAcentral